CACGUAGGGCGCAAGCGUUGUCCGGAAUUAUUGGGCGUAAAGAGCUCGUAGGCGGUCUGUUGCGUCUGCUGUGAAAACCCGGGGCUUAACCCCUGGCUUGCAGUGGAUACGGACAGACUAGAGGUAGGUAGGGGAGAAUGGAAUUCCCGGUGUAGCGGUGAAAUGCGCAGAUAUCGGGAGGAACACCAGUGGCGAAGGCGACUCUUUGGCCUGUAACUGACGCUGAGGCGCGAAAGCGUGGGGAGCAAACAGG
Molecule: ribosomal RNA, 253 nt
Filed under: uncultured bacterium
Lineage: Bacteria
Description: partial 16S ribosomal RNA
Rfam family: Bacterial small subunit ribosomal RNA
Source: RNAcentral